Molecule: long non-coding RNA, 191 nt
Organism: Bradysia coprophila
Lineage: Eukaryota; Metazoa; Arthropoda; Insecta; Diptera; Sciaridae
Source: RefSeq, a predicted model, not a curated record
AUGAGUUCAGACGAGUGGGAGGGAUUCUUUUGAAUUUCGACUGACCGAAAUCGGCUCUAUUUAUUCCGGGACUUGUUUAUAUAUGCCUGGUUAGACCUUGGUGUCUAGGCCCCAAAACCAGUCUCAGAUUUUUUUGAUCUUCCAUACCUGGCUGGUUGUAAGUGGCCAAAAGUUGAAAAAUGGGGUUUCGU